AACGAACGCUGGCGGCAUGCUUAACACAUGCAAGUCGAACGAGAAGGCCGGGCCUAGGUGCGGUCGGCGGCGUGAGGAGUGGGGAGUAACACGUGGGUACGGAGUCCCUGCCUGAGGGGGAACUUAAGGCCGGUGAAGCUAUUCGGACCAAGGAUCUACUGCUGUUUGGUGGGGGUUGGAAGGUUUCGGCGGUUGGGGAUGGACUCGCGGUUGAUCAGCUUGUUGGUGGGGUAGUGGCUUACCAAGGCCAUGACGGGUAGCCGGGCUGAGAGGGUGACCGGCCACAUUGGGACUGAGAUACGGCCCAGACUCCUACGGGAGGCAGCAGUGGGGAAUAUUGCACAAUGGGCGGAAGCCUGAUGCAGCAACGCCGCGUGCGGGAUGACGGCCUUCGGGUUGUAAACCGCUUUCGCCUGUGACGAAGCGUGAGUGACGGUAAUGGGUAAAGAAGCACCGGCUAACUACGUG
RNAcentral lists this ribosomal RNA (468 nucleotides) under uncultured bacterium. RNAcentral's name for it is "partial 16S ribosomal RNA". It matches the Rfam family "Bacterial small subunit ribosomal RNA", at positions 28 to 507 of the family's 1533-position model. The record is from RNAcentral.